GAUUAAGCCGGUAGUGAACCCAGAGCUUUUAAAGGUGUCCAGGCUGCUGUCUUGGGUGCAGUUCACUUGGCUAAGAGCCGAGAAGGCUGUAGGCAGGGCAGGAAAGAGAGAAAGUGUGGAAGAAAAGCAGAAAACGGUAAAAACUUGCUUCUGUUAUUCGUGGCUUCUAUGAAACCUGCUUGGCUUGUGCUGAAACUCGCGAGGAAAUUUCACAGCCGGAUUGCUCCUAGGCCAUCAUAACGGGAGGAGGCCCAAACAGCCUGUGAUGAGUGAGGUGCAAGUGGAAAGGAACUGUGGCCGCCAGCCCUCAGCCUUAGCCAAACUCCCAGCUGCCAGCCAGCAGGAACCUGCCAGCCAUAAGUGAGCCAUCUUGAAAGCGCAUCCUUCAGCCCCAGUCAAGCCAUCUCAGCUGGCGCUGUGUGGCACAAAGAUGAACCAUCCUUGUUCAUCCCUACCUACAAUGCAGCAAAACUACAGUGCGUUGUUCCCAGGUUCACCUCUGGGAUGAGAUCUGGACGAGAAUAAUCAUGCCUGCCCCUUCACCUCUGGCUGCACUCUGAGAAGUGCCAAGAAGGUCAUAUCAAAGACCCAGAGGGGAGAGAUGGAGCUAAGUGGUUCCAAACAUUUAGAGCAUGGAAUUGAGCUACUUUUUCAAAAUGGGGAAUGCAGAGGCACACUGGAAACGCAAUAGAACAAUGGCUGCCAAUUUAAAAGCAGAAGUUAAGAAGAGCAAACCCGAAUGUACAGCGAGAGAGCUUCGGGCUGGAUCAGCUCCCGGCAGAAGCGAGACUGGAAAUCUUGGAUUCUGUUGCCUCUUCUCUCCUCUGUGAUGUGGAAGAAGAUGUCAGCACCUGGGUGUGGACUUGGUCAUUAACGCUUAUUUCCCAACCUUUGCCAAGCUGCCUAACUCCCUGGAGUCUUAGUUUUCUCAUGUGUGGGAGACAAUGUGUUCUUUAUCCUGAAGUCAUUGUGAGGACUGAGUGAGAGGAUGUAUGUGGAAGGAAGCACCAAGCAUGGUUCCUGGUAUAUACUAGGUACUCAGUAAAUGUGGACUAGCGUGAAUAUGAACUCCACUCACUUCGUGCCCCCUCAUGCUGGCUGGUCCCCGGUGCUCUGGGCUUCCCAAGUCAUGGCAGUUUUCCCAAAGUGGCCCCUAAAGUCAUGUCAGUCCUUGGGGCCUCAUUACUUAGGUUUCCUGUGCCAUCUGCUCCUUUCCAGUCAUAGAUUCCAUGCUCCGUUCUGACAGAAGCUUGCUUCUGCUGGCUGUCACACUUAAAAAGUGGCGGAUGACCAUUCGAGCGUUAGAUGAUAAUGAUUUAUGAACACCAUCCCUCCAGACAGCAUUUGCAGUAUUACAAGUUUUGCUUUUAUUUUAUUUGUCACUAGGAAGGCACUGAGAACAAAAGGAAACUCUCUUGAAUGGUGGGAUCGAGGCACUGUAGCACAUUUUUUAUGGAGGGGAAGGAGGCUUUUCACCUGGAAACCUUUCAAAUCACACCCUAUAAGUAGCUCACGAGUCUCUCUACUCAUACUGAUCUCUUCAUCUGCUGAGUUGAACAGUGUCCCCCAAAUUCAUGGCCACCCGGGACCUGUGAAUGUGACCUUAUUUGGAAAUAGGGUCAUUGCAGAUAUACUCAAAUUAAGACAAGGCCAUAUUGGAUUAGGGGGAGCCCUAAAUUCAAUAUGACUGGAGUCUUUAUAAGAAGAGGAAAAUUUGGCCACAGAGAUAUAGACCUACGGGGUAUCAGGCCCUGUGAAGACAGAGUCAGAGAUUGGAACGAGGUGUCAAGUCAAGGAUCAACAAGGAUUGCUGACAACCAGAGCAAGAUGGAAGAGGCAAGGAAGGGCUCUUCCUUAGAGACUUCAGAAGGAACAGGCCCUGCCAACACCUUGACUGUGGACUUCUAGCCUCCAGAACUUUGAGGGAAUAAAUUUCUGUUGUUUCAAGCCGCCCAGUCUAUG
RNAcentral lists this long non-coding RNA (1962 nucleotides) under Equus asinus (donkey). RNAcentral's name for it is "lncRNA (ENSEASG00005037420.1)". The record is from RNAcentral. Lineage: Eukaryota; Metazoa; Chordata; Mammalia; Perissodactyla; Equidae.